GAAAUGCGAUAAGUAAUGUGAAUUGCAGAAUUCAGUGAAUCAUCGAAUCUUUGAACGCACCUUGCGCUCCUUGGUAUUCCUUGGAGCAUGCCUGUUUGAGUAUCAUGAAAUCUUCAAAGUAAAUCUUUUGUUAACUCAAUUGGUUUCUACUUUGGUAUUGGAGGUCUUUGCAGCUUCACACCUGCUCCUCUUUGUUCAUUAGCUGGAUCUCAGUGUUAUGCUUGGUUCCACUCGGCGUGAUAAGUUAUCUAUUGCUGAGGACACUGUAAAAGGUGGCCAAGGUAAAUGCAGAUGAACCGCUUCUAAUAGUCCACUGACUUGGACAAUACUUUUAUGAUCUGAUCUCAAAUCAGGUAGGACUACCCGCUGAACUUAAGC
Molecule: unclassified non-coding RNA, 378 nt
Filed under: plant metagenome
Description: partial contains 5.8S ribosomal RNA, internal transcribed spacer 2, and large subunit ribosomal RNA
Rfam family: 5.8S ribosomal RNA (bases 1-105)
Source: RNAcentral